RNAcentral lists this ribosomal RNA (764 nucleotides) under uncultured bacterium. Its description in RNAcentral is "bacterial SSU rRNA". It matches the Rfam family "Bacterial small subunit ribosomal RNA", at positions 83 to 859 of the family's 1533-position model. The record is from RNAcentral.
AAAGCAAUUUUAGCGGCGGACGGGUGAGUAACGCGUGAGCAUUCUGGCUUUUACAGGGGGAUAACACAGGGAAACUGUUACUAAUACCGCAUAUUAUUAUUUAAUCGCAUGAUUGAGUGAUGAAAGUGGAAACACGGUAAAGGGGGGAGCUCGCGUUCUAUUAGAUAGUUGGUGGGGUAACGGCCUACCAAGUCAACGAUAGAUAGCCGACCUGAGAGGGUGAUCGGCCACACUGGAACUGAGACACGGUCCAGACUUCUACGGAAGGCAGCAGUAGGGAAUAUUGGGCAAUGGGGGAAACCCUGACCCAGCGACGCCGCGUGAGGGAAGAAGGUUUUCGGAUUGUAAACCUCUGUUCUUGGUGAAGAGUGGAAGACGGUAACCAAGGAGGAAGCCCCGGCUAACUACGUGCCAGCAGCCGCGGUAAUACGUAGGGGGCGAGCGUUGUCCGGAAUGAUUGGGCGUAAAGGGCGCGUAGGCGGCUGUUUAAGUCUGGAGUGGAAGUCCUAUUUUUAAGGUAGGAAUUGCUUUGGAAACUGAGCAGCUUGAGUGCAGGAGAGGUCAUCGGAAUUCCCGGUGUAGCGGUGAAAUGCGUAGAGAUCGGGAGGAACACCAGUGGCGAAGGCGGGUGACUGGACUGCAACUGACGCUGAGGCGCGAAAGUGUGGGGAGCAAACAGGAUUAGAUACCCUGGUAGUCCAUGCCGUAAACGGUGGGCGCUAGGUGUAGGGGUCUUCCACGACUUCUGUGCCGUAGCUAACGCA